This 550-nucleotide long non-coding RNA is filed under the name Pan paniscus (pygmy chimpanzee). RNAcentral describes it as "lncRNA (ENSPPAG00000045005.1)". Lineage: Eukaryota; Metazoa; Chordata; Mammalia; Primates; Hominidae. The record is from RNAcentral.
UCAUAGCUGAGUGCUAAAGGGAUCUAAAUAUUGAAGUGAGGAAGACAAAUGAUAGACGGAUGAAGGUCAAAUGGAAACCUCCAGAGGUCUCAAGCCAACAGAAGCAACAUAUAUGUGAAGGGUUAUUUCAGAAAGGGGGUUUUGGAAGGGGUUUUCGAAGAGAAACUUACUGCUUUCUACUCUCACCAGAAACUGGAAACUAUUUUUAUCCACUUGUCAUUGAAAUGGGACACUAUCUCAUUCUGAUAUUUGCUAAUUUGGUAAAUUAAUAUGUUUAAAUUUAAAUUUGUAUAUUAAUAAGCUUAUGUAGUUUAAGUGAGUUUGUUAGUUUUUCAAAUGGUCUUGGUAGGUUUAUAACAGAUUUGUAUGAGCUUUUGUAUAUUAAUGGAUAAUAAAUAUCACGAAAGGUUUCAGAUAUAUUAAAUAGGGAUAUCUUCACAUAACUGUCUUUGAAAGGGCUUCUGUCAGUCUUAAAUGAAAUAACUUCUUUAUAACCCCUGGAAGAGUUCCUUGCAUUUAGAAGUAUUAUAUGUGUUAGCUUUUUAUUGCC